UACGUAGGUGGCAAGCGUUGUCCGGAAUUAUUGGGCGUAAAGCGCGCGCAGGCGGUCCUUUAAGUCUGAUGUGAAAGCCCACGGCUCAACCGUGGAGGGUCAUUGGAAACUGGGGGACUUGAGUGCAGGAGAGAAGAGUGGAAUUCCACGUGUAGCGGUGAAAUGCGUAGAGAUGUGGAGGAACGCCAGUGGCGAAGGCGACUCUUUGGCCCGUCAAUGACGCUGAGGCGCGCCACCCUGGGGAGCAAACAGG
RNAcentral lists this ribosomal RNA (253 nucleotides) under uncultured bacterium. Its description in RNAcentral is "partial 16S ribosomal RNA". It matches the Rfam family "Bacterial small subunit ribosomal RNA", at positions 524 to 776 of the family's 1533-position model. The record is from RNAcentral.